Non-coding RNA from Paramisgurnus dabryanus, 73 nucleotides. Lineage: Eukaryota; Metazoa; Chordata; Actinopteri; Cypriniformes; Cobitidae. The record is from the annotation of a RefSeq genome assembly.
GGUAGCGUGGCCGAGCGGUCCAAGGCGCUGGAUUUAGGCUCCGGGGGCGUGGGUUCGAAUCCCACCGCUGCCA